GAUCCUGCCAGUAGUCAUAUGCUUGUCUCAAAGACUAAGCCAUGCAUGUCUAAGUCCAAGCUGUGUUUACACGGCGAGACCGCGGACGGCUCAUUAAAUCAGUCGUGGUCCAAAUGGGACAGUCCUUGCUACUUGGAUAACUGUGGUAAUUCCAGAGCUAAUACGUGCAACUAUACCCUGAGUUGUAGGAGCUUGCCUCCAACGACGACGGGUGCUUUUAUUAGACCAAACUACUGGGCGUUCUCUCCGGAGAGCGAGACUCAUUGUGUGGUGACUCUGGAUAACCUUUGACAAGCGAACGUACCACUCCUUGAGUCGGACGGCGCUUCCACUUUCGAGUGUCUGCCUUAUCAGCUGUCAACCGCUCGCUAUACGCGACCGAUGGCUUUGACGGGUAACGGGGAAUCAGGGUUCGAUUCCGGAGAGGCAGCCUGAGAGACGGCUACCACGUCCAAGGACGGCAGCAGGCACGCAAAUUACCCAAUCCCAGCACAUGGGGGAGGUAGUGACGAAACCUAACGAUGCGGGCGCCCUCUACGGGCCCCGCAAUCGGAAUGAGCGCUUUCUAAACAACCCGUUGAGAACCUACUGAAGGGCAAGUCUGGUGCCAGCAGCCGCG
RNAcentral lists this ribosomal RNA (619 nucleotides) under Ischyrocerus anguipes. Its description in RNAcentral is "bacterial SSU rRNA". It matches the Rfam family "Eukaryotic small subunit ribosomal RNA", at positions 10 to 578 of the family's 1831-position model. Lineage: Eukaryota; Metazoa; Arthropoda; Malacostraca; Amphipoda; Ischyroceridae. The record is from RNAcentral.